AUUGAACGCUGGCGGCAGGCCUAACACAUGCAAGUCGAGCGGAAGAGGCAGUCUUGCCCCUGGUUUCAGCGUCGGACGGGUGUGUGUUGCCUAUGAAUCUGCCUCGUUGUGGGUGAUGACGUCCGGAAACGGGUGCUAAUGCUGCCUGCGUCGUGAAGGGGAAGGUGGGGGAUCUGCGGAGCUCAUGCUAUCAGGUGAGACUAGGUCGGAUUAGCUAGUUGGUGGGGUAAAGGCGCACAAAGGCGAGUCUCCGUAACUGGUCUGAGAGGAUGAUCAGUCACACUGGAACUGAGACACGGUCCAGACUCCUACGGGAGGCAGCAGUGGGGAAUAUUGGACAAUGGGCGAAAGCCUGAUCCAGCCAUGCCGCGUGUGUGAAGAAGGUCUUCGGAUUGUAAAGCACUUUAAGUUGGGAGGAAGGGCAGUAAGUUAAUACCUUGCUGUUUUGACGUUACCAACAGAAUAAGCACCGGCUAACUUCGUG
RNAcentral lists this ribosomal RNA (484 nucleotides) under uncultured bacterium. Its description in RNAcentral is "partial 16S ribosomal RNA". It matches the Rfam family "Bacterial small subunit ribosomal RNA", at positions 30 to 507 of the family's 1533-position model. The record is from RNAcentral.